RNAcentral lists this small RNA (34 nucleotides) under Bombyx mori (domestic silkworm). Its description in RNAcentral is "ovarian small RNA-1802". Lineage: Eukaryota; Metazoa; Arthropoda; Insecta; Lepidoptera; Bombycidae. The record is from RNAcentral.
GUUGGCCUCAGAUCAGGGAGGAUCACCCGCCGAA